CCUACGGGUGGCAGCAGUGGGGAAUAUUGCGCAAUGGGCGAAAGCCUGACGCAGCGACGCCGCGUGAGGGAUGAAGGUCUUCGGAUCGUAAACCUCUGUCAGCAGGGAAGAACGGUCACUGUGCUAAUCAGCAGUGAAUUGACGGUACCUGCAAAGGAAGCACCGGCUAACUCCGUGCCAGCAGCCGCGGUAAUACGGAGGGUGCGAGCGUUAAUCGGAAUUACUGGGCGUAAAGCGCUCGUAGGCGGUAUGUCAAGUCAAGGGUGAAAUCCCCGCGCUCAACGUGGGAACUGCCUUUGAAACUGGCAGACUGGAGUGUGUGAGAGGAUAGUGGAAUUCCAGGUGUAGGAGUGAAAUCCGUAGAUAUCUGGAGGAACAUCAGUGGCGAAGGCGACUAUCUGGCACAUAACUGACGCUGAGGCUCGAAAGCAUGGGUAGCGAACAGGAUUAGAUACCCUAGUAGUC
This 465-nucleotide ribosomal RNA is filed under the name uncultured bacterium. RNAcentral describes it as "partial 16S ribosomal RNA". It matches the Rfam family "Bacterial small subunit ribosomal RNA", at positions 338 to 795 of the family's 1533-position model. The record is from RNAcentral.